GACGAACGCUGGCGGCGUGCUUAACACAUGCAAGUCGAACGGAAAGGCCCUGCUUUUGUGGGGUGCUCGAGUGGCGAACGGGUGAGUAACACGUGAGUAACCUGCCCUUGACUUUGGGAUAACUUCAGGAAGCUGGGGCUAAUACCGGAUAGGAGCUCCUGCUGCAUGUUGGGGGUUGGAAAGUUUCGGCGGUUGGGGAUGGACUCGCGGCUUAUCAGCUUGUUGGUGGGGUAGUGGCUUACCAAGGCUUUGACGGGUAGCCGGCCUGAGAGGGUGACCGGCCACAUUGGGACUGAGAUACGGCCCAGACUCCUACGGGAGGCAGCAGUGGGGAAUAUUGCACAAUGGGCGGAAGCCUGAUGCAGCAACGCCGCGUGCGGGAUGACGGCCUUCGGGUUGUAAACCGCUUUCGCCUGUGACGAAGCGUGAGUGACGGUAAUGGGUAAAGAAGCACCGGCUAACUACGUG
RNAcentral lists this ribosomal RNA (468 nucleotides) under uncultured bacterium. RNAcentral's name for it is "partial 16S ribosomal RNA". It matches the Rfam family "Bacterial small subunit ribosomal RNA", at positions 28 to 507 of the family's 1533-position model. The record is from RNAcentral.